Molecule: ribosomal RNA, 229 nt
Filed under: uncultured bacterium
Lineage: Bacteria
Description: partial 16S ribosomal RNA
Rfam family: Bacterial small subunit ribosomal RNA
Source: RNAcentral
CGGGGUGAGUAAUGUCUGGGAAACUGCCCGAUGGAGGGGGAUAACUACUGGAAACGGUAGCUAAUACCGCAUAACGUCGCAAGACCAAAGAGGGGGACCUUCGGGCCUCUUGCCAUCGGAUGUGCCCAGAUGGGAUUAGCUAGUAGGUGGGGUAAUGGCUCACCUAGGCGACGAUCCCUAGCUGGUCUGAGAGGAUGACCAGCCACACUGGAACUGAGACACGGUCCAG